GUGAGGGCCUCCUGUUUUUCAGUCAUCGGCGAAAGGAAGAAAGAUGGCGGCUCUGCGCGGACCGACACCGGGGUACCGUUUUGAGCUUUCCCAGCCAAACCGAGACCGGGGACUAACUGGACUACGGCUUCCUAAUCCUCGCUUGUUGCCGUUACUCGGAUUUCCGAAGGGCUUGCGUCGACGGCCAAAAAAUAAGAGAUCGAAAAUAAUAGAUUUUGCCUAUCAUGAGAGGGAGAAGGGGCAGGCCGCCCAAACCCCUGACGUUACCCCCAGAAGAAUCGUCCGCGGCACCGGUGCGUGGUUUAAGACCAAGGAGGAAUCUGAAACCGAGACUGAGAGACAGCGGCGAUGAGGACAUCGAGAGCCCCAAAAGGGACCCCGCCAGGGCGACCAGGGGGAAAAGAAAGGGCCGACCGGGCGCGUCAACCCGGGGCAGGGGAAGAGGCAGAGGUGGCGGCAGAGGAGGUCGUGGAGGGAGGCGGACGGCUCUCUCCAAAACGGUGGUCUACGACGACCACGAGAGCGAGGACGACGACGACGCUGGAAGACGCUGCGGACAACCCGACCUCACAGUCCUAUCCUGGAGGUGGAGAUCCCUCCCCUUGAGUGUCCAGAAACCUCUGAAGAUCUCCUGAUACCAAGUGAAGAGCGUGUCAACGUUGCCUCCAUCUAUGUUUUGCGCAACUUCAGCACAGUGCUACGGCUCUUCCCAUCUGUUUUGAGGACUUUUGUGCAGCACUGGCUGAUCAGGAACAGUAUACUUUAAUAGGAGAGACCCACAUUACCCUGCUAAAGGCCAUAAUGCGUGAAGAAGACUCUUCCAACACCACCUUCGGCCUUGCCGACCUCAACGACAACGUCAACUCCACCCUAUACUUCAUUGACGGCAUGACAUGGCCUGAGGUUUUGCGAUCUUACUGUGAGAGUGACCAGGAGUACCACCGUGUCCUGCCAUACCAGGAGUUGGAUGAUUACCCCUAUGGCCCUCUGGAGAGCAAAAUCAAGGGGACCUGCUCUGCUGCGAAACCUCCUCAGCAGUGUACCACCUGGAGUGUGUGAAAAUGCCACUGUAGGAGGUUCCAGAGGAUGAGUGGCAGUGUGAGGUCUGUGUGGCACACAAGGUACCUGGUGUUCCAGACUGUGUGACUGAGAUGCAGGAAAACAGGCCCUAUAUCUGCCAGGAGCCCAUCGAAUAUGACCGCCACCAGAGAAAAUACUGGUUCUUCAACAGAAGGAUAAUUGAUGAGGAGGACAGGGAGCAUGAGAGGGGAAUAGGUCUGGUACUGCAGCACUAAGGCACAACUUGGGGAGCUCAUGGAGUGCCUGAAGAGGAGGUGCAGGCUCACAUGGACAUCACAGAGGACCUCACUAACAAGAGGAGUACAAUGAGACGGUCAAGAGUGGCAGAACAGCAGCGAUAGGACAGGAGUCCAAUAACCUGAUACCUAUGGGCAGCAAGGAGCCGUCUCCUGCAAUGUCUGACAGCGAAGCCUCCCGAUCCAGUACUGUCAAAAAGGACCAUGUGAAGACCAACAGGAACAGCUUGUUCAAGCUGGGCCAGGAGGGCAAAUACAGAGUCUACCACAACCAGUACAGCACAAACGUCCUUGGCCUCAAUAACCACCAGCAUCGGGAGGACAGUGACAAGAGGCAGCACCUCUCCCACAAGUUCAGCUUGACCACUGCUUCCAGGUUGAAGUGGAAUGGCUCCAUCCAUGGGGUCCAGAGUCUUCACCAUCUCCACCUUGCAUCUUACCAUCAUCCAGCUGGAGACCAACAUCCCUGCACCUUUUAUGCAUCCAAACUGGGCUUCACACCGGUAUGAGAGUGGACCCUCUGCCUGUGCAUGAAUUUAUGCGAUACACCAAAACAGGUCUAACUGGAACAAAGCAGUACAGAUGUGCAGUAAAGCCAGGGAAUUUGCCUUGGCCACCCUCGAGUGUGCCAUCAAACCAGUGGUCAUGUUGCCUGUAUGGAAGGAUUCUCUUUGACACACAAGACUACAUCACAUGACCUCCAUAGAACGGGAGGAAAAGGAGAAGGUGAAAAAGAGAGAAAAGGUUGGAGGAUGAGGAGACAAUGCAGCAGGCCACCUGGGUGAAGUACACCAUCCCCAUCAAACACCAGGUAAGGCUCUCAUGCCUUACAUCUGCCAGCUAGGAGGUGUGGAAGCAGAAAGGGGAGGAGUACAGGAUGACUGGUUAUGGGGGUUGGAGCUGGGUCAGUAAGACCCAUGUGCCACACUUUCUUCCAAGAUUACCAGGGAAUACAAAUGUCAACUACCGUAAAGAGCUGGAAGCAGCUAAAACAUGCAAGGAAAACCCAGGCAGUCUUGAAGAUUCACUGAACACUGACAAACAAACAGCUCAGGGCACUGUGGACAUCGUCAAGGAGCAAACAUCCUGCACUGUGACAUCUCAGAGCACCUCAUUAGUGGAGGGCCAGACCGGAGGCACGAAUGAAAAAGAAAGGCUCACAGAGAAAGAAAAGGCAAGAAAUGCGGCUGAAAA
This is a long non-coding RNA of Lampris incognitus (smalleye Pacific opah), 2510 nucleotides long. RefSeq lists it as uncharacterized. NCBI's taxonomy places the organism in Eukaryota, Metazoa, Chordata, Actinopteri, Lampriformes, Lampridae. The record is from RefSeq and is a predicted model, not a curated record. The transcript has 10 exons.